AAGAAGGCACUUUACUAAAAACAUUAAUAAAUAAAUAUUUACAGGAAAAAACAAAAAUGAUAAUACUAUAUUAGAUUUGCUUUAUGUAUAUAACUACUAGUUUAAUAGUUUUGAUAAGCAGCUAGCCCUUUGUAGUUCACCAAUAUAGGAUUUCAUCCAACAUUGAUAAUACCAUGGAUACAUUCUUGAUAAAUUGCUGCAAAAACUGCCCUUUAACUUGACUACAUAGAUUUAACAUGUCCCUUGAGAGUCUAAUAUUCCUCUAACUUGCAACAUGAUUAUUGAGAAAAUCAAGUUAUAAUUUUCAUGGCUCAUGUGUAUAUUUUGCAACUUCAGCGCGACGUUUAGCUUGUUCCGCAAUCUCAUUCAAUUCUCUGUAGUUCUUGUCAUGGAAUAAGCCAUUGCUUUCAGCAGUUUGGAGACCGUGUAGUGUACGUUGCGCGACUGCCCAUUGUGCUUCCCUUUCGCCUUUUCCAUAAUCCUUCUUGGUUGUGAAAGCAGUCUAAUAGUUUCAAAAAACAAAAAUAAAUAGAGUAUUAUUAAUUCAAGAAUGGAAUUUGAAAAGGUCUGCAGACCGUGCAGUGUACGUUGCGCCACAGCCCAUUGUGCUUCCCUUUCACCUUUUCCAUAAUCCUUCUUGGUUGUGAAAGCAGUCUAAUAGUUUC
This 665-nucleotide long non-coding RNA is filed under the name Nicotiana benthamiana. RNAcentral's name for it is "long non-coding RNA (NBEN_LNC027243)". The record is from RNAcentral. Lineage: Eukaryota; Viridiplantae; Streptophyta; Magnoliopsida; Solanales; Solanaceae.